Molecule: RNA transcript, 2633 nt
Organism: Sus scrofa (pig)
Lineage: Eukaryota; Metazoa; Chordata; Mammalia; Artiodactyla; Suidae
Gene: MTMR14
Gene name: myotubularin related protein 14
Source: RefSeq, a predicted model, not a curated record
GGCGGGGCCGGAAGUGGAAAGGCAAGGCGGCGGCUGAGGCGGCUCGGGAGGUUCCGGACCGGAGUAGGUUCCUCCCGCUGCUAUGGGCUGUCCUGAUCGGUGGUGAGGGGGCCUCUGGCGCUAAAGGGGACACGGGACUGGGCCAUGGCCGGCGCUCGGGCCGCCGCCGCUGCCUCGGCGGGGUCUUCGGCUUCUUCGGGCAACCCGCAGCCGCAGGAGCCGGGGCUCGGGGAGCUGCUGGAGGAGUUCUCCCGGACUCAGUAUCGGGCCAAGGAUUUUAGCGGGACGGGAGGCUCUAAGGUUGAGCGCAUUGAGAAGAGGUGUCUGGAGCUGUUUGGCCGAGACUACUGUUACAGCGUGAUCCAGAAUGUGAAUGGGGAUAUCUGCGGCCACUACCCCCAGCACAUCGUGUUCCUGGAGUAUGAGAGUUCUGAGAAGGAAAAAGACACGUUUCAGAGCACCGUGCAAGUGAGCAAGUUGCAAGACCUCGUCAACCGCAGCAAGACAGCCAGGUGCAGAGGACGAUUUGUCUGUCCAGUGAUUCUGUUCAAGGGCAAGCACAUUUGCAGGUCGGCUACCCUUGCCGGAUGGGGGGAGCUGUAUGGACGCACCGGCUACAACUAUAUUUUCUCAGGGGGUGCAGACGACGCCUGGGCGGAUGUGGAGGACGUCACAGAGGAGGAUGGUGCUCUUAGAAGUUCCGACACGCAUCUUUUUGAUAAGGUCAGAGGCUAUGACAUCAAGCUGCUCCGGUACCUGUCAGUCAAAUACAUCUGUGACCUGAUGGUGGAGAACAAGAAGGUGAAGUUUGGCAUGAAUGUAACCUCCUCCGAGAAGGUGGACAAAGCCCAGCGCUACGCCGACUUCACUCUCCUCUCCAUCCCAUACCCAGGCUGUGAAUUUUUCAAGGAAUAUAAGGAUCGGGAUUACAUGGCUGAAGGGCUUAUUUUUAACUGGAAGCAGGACUACGUCGAUGCCCCCCUGAGCAUCCCCGACUUCCUGACUUGCUCUCUGAACAUUGACUGGAGCCAGUAUCAGAGUUGGGAUCUAGUACAACAAACACAAAACUACCUGAAACUGCUGCUUUCUAUAAUUAAUAGUGACGAUGACAGCGGACUGCUGGUUCACUGCAUCUCAGGUUGGGAUCGGACACCGCUCUUCAUCUCUCUCCUGCGCCUUUCCCUGUGGGCUGAUGGGCUCAUUCACGCAUCCCUGAAGCCUGCUGAGAUCCUCUACCUGACUGUGGCCUAUGACUGGUUCCUCUUUGGGCACAUGUUGGUAGAUCGGCUCAGCAAAGGAGAGGAGAUUUUCUUCUUCUGCUUCAAUUUUUUGAAGCAUAUCAUCUCUGAGGAGUUCUCUGCUCUGAAGACACAGAGGAGGAAGAGUUUGCCAGCCCGGGAUGCAGGCUUCACCGUGGAAGAUAUCUGCAUGCUGAGACGAAAGGACCGUGGCAGCACCACCAGCCUUGGCAGCGACUUCUCUCUGGUCAUGGAGAGCUCUCCGGGAGCCGCCGGGAGCUUCACCUAUGAGACUGUGGAGUUGGUCCCUGCAGGAGCACAGACUCAGGCAGCUUGGAGGAAGAGCCACUCGUCCUCUCCACAGAGUGUGCUCUGGAACCGGCCACAGUCCUCAGAGGACCGCCUGUUUUCCCACCAGGGGCUGGUGGAAGCCAAGUCCUCCAGCUCCUCAUCCUCGAACCAUUCUGACAACUUUUUCAGGAUGGGUAGCAGUCCCCUGGAGGUCCCCAAGCCCAGCUGUGUGGGCUGGGCCAGCUCUGUUUGUAUGGGUAUUCGGUUACCUGCUUCCUGAACACACUCACCUGAGCUGGCACAGGAUGCAGGUGCCUCCUGUCAUCUUUAGGUGUCCCCUCUAGCCAGCUAAUCCAGGCUAGCAGUGACAAGUACCUCUCUACUUAGCACAGCCCCUUGCUCUCAAACCCAGGAACUGAGUGGUUGCUCUGCAGUCCUUUGACGGAAGCCUCAAGUGGAAAGAUUCAUGUGGAGCCUGUGCACUCACUCUUGAAAAAGAUGGAAAAGUUGGCUUUUCGACCCCUGGGAUCACAUGCCCUGUCUCUCUCUGUGCUGCCCACUCCGCACCAGAGCUGUCUCCUGGCCGCUUCAAGCAUGGUUCUUGCCUGGUGGUCCUACCUGCUGGACACGGGAAGUACAGGGAAGGGACUAGCCUUGGGGACCCCUCUAACCACAUUCUGUCCAUCUCUCAUUUUUCUAUUGGCACUGUGAGUCUCUGGUUGUCCUAGGGAGUGGGGUUGGAGCCUAAGAAACCGCCACGUUCCCCACUUCAGGGGGCCUCAUCCUACCCAACCUCCUCUACUUCACAUUCCUUCAACACUCUUCUCUUCAGCAGUUGUUUUCCCAAAAACUGGAGGAGAAACUCUGCCUUAAAGUUUGAACAGUAGAUGAGAUCUGUGGAGCCAGGACGAUCCCAAGAGGGUUUGUGUUGACUGAACACCCCAGCCUGACCCAGGGGAAGCACAGGAUCAGUGGACCAUCCCCUGCCCGGAUCCUCUCUCUCCACAGACUUUGGCAGCUGGCAGAUGGUAACAGGCUGUGGCAGUAUUCAGGAACGGGCUGUCCUGCACACAGACUCCUCUCUCCCUUUCAGCUUCCCGGAUG